Molecule: ribosomal RNA, 253 nt
Filed under: uncultured bacterium
Lineage: Bacteria
Description: partial 16S ribosomal RNA
Rfam family: Bacterial small subunit ribosomal RNA
Source: RNAcentral
UACGUAGGGGCCGAGCGUUGUCCGGAAUUACUGGGCGUAAAGCGCGCGCAGGCGGCUGAUCAAGCCUGACGUGAAAGCCCCCGGCUCAACCGGGGAGGGUCGUCGGGGACUGGUUGGCUUGAGGGCGGUAGGGGCCGGUGGAAUUCCCGGUGUAGUGGUGAAAUGCGUAGAGAUCGGGAGGAACACCAGUGGCGAAGGCGGCCGGCUGGGCCGACCCUGACGCUGAGGUACGAAAGCGUGGGGAGCAAACAGG